This 429-nucleotide ribosomal RNA is filed under the name Bacteroidota bacterium. RNAcentral describes it as "Bacteroidetes bacterium partial 16S ribosomal RNA". It matches the Rfam family "Bacterial small subunit ribosomal RNA", at positions 355 to 776 of the family's 1533-position model. Lineage: Bacteria; Pseudomonadati; Bacteroidota. The record is from RNAcentral.
UAGGGAAUCUUCGGCAAUGGGGGGAACCCUGACCGAGCAACGCCGCGUGAGUGAAGAAGGUUUUCGGAUCGUAAAGCUCUGUUGUUAAGGAAGAACGAGUGUGAGAAUGGAAAGUUCAUACUGUGACGGUACUUAACCAGAAAGGGACGGCUAACUACGUGCCAGCAGCCGCGGUAAUACGUAGGUCCCGAGCGUUGUCCGGAUUUAUUGGGCGUAAAGCGAGCGCAGGCGGUUAGAUAAGUCUGAAGGUAAAGGCAGUGGCUCAACCAUUGUAGGCUUUGGAAACUGUUUAACUUGAGUGCAGAAGGGGAGAGUGGAAUUCCAUGUGUAGCGGUGAAAUGAGUAGAUAUAUGGAGGAACACCGGUGGCGAAAGCAGCUCUCUGGUCUGUAACUGACGCUGAGGCUCGAAAGCGUGGGGAGCGAACAGG